UGUAACCGGAGAGCACGAAUUUCAUUACAAAAUUGCUUGUCUCCACCGGGACUCGAACCCGGUACCUCUGUGUUACAAGGCAGCGCGUAUACCGACUGAGCUAAAGAAGUACUUCCUUAGCUCAACCGCUUACGGCUGACUAAGUAGCUACCAAAUGUUCUAAGGGAAGCAAUCCCGUCACACUUCCCCCACCUCAAGAGUCAUCAUACCAUUAUGAAUCUCAUGCAAACAUACCCUAGCUAGAAUUCCUCUCUAACUACCUGGGUUUUUUUAGUUGGGCGCCAAUGUAACCGGAGAGCACGAAUUUCAUUACAAAAUUGCUUGUCUCCACCGGGACUAGAACCCAGUACCUCUGUGUACAAGGCAGCGCG
Molecule: long non-coding RNA, 371 nt
Filed under: Mytilus galloprovincialis (Mediterranean mussel)
Lineage: Eukaryota; Metazoa; Mollusca; Bivalvia; Mytilida; Mytilidae
Source: RNAcentral